Molecule: non-coding RNA, 2117 nt
Organism: Styela clava
Lineage: Eukaryota; Metazoa; Chordata; Ascidiacea; Stolidobranchia; Styelidae
Source: RefSeq, a predicted model, not a curated record
UUUAGUUAAGAACACCAGUUCUACCUCGCAUAAACUUCUAGCAAUUUACUACUCGUGUUCUUCUGCUUAUCAUUCAUGCGUGAUUGCAAGUUUCAUAUAUAUAUAUAGACCUAAUCAUUUAUACAAGACCCUGAUAUAUCAGAGCUAGACAAUGAAGGAUAAGGGAUUCCCCAUGUGUGAGAUGUCUUUUAGCAAACGAAAAUAUUGAUUAGAGCGCAAACGAGAUUAACGCAAGGACUUACAAAAGUAGUAUAGCUUUAAAAAUAUUCAACGAUUUUUACAAAUAACCAUAAGCAAGUUACUAUAUAGUAUGAUCAGGGUAUAAUAAAUUUUAAGUAGGGUUUAAAAUAUGUUCGAGUACAAUUUGUAUGCUACACUAUUUGUUUGUUAGAUUAAAGAUAUACAGUUAUAAUAUAAUAGUAGAGGAACAGUCUAAAACAAAAUUUGCAGUUCAGCAGCAACACGAAAACUAUAACCACAACCGUCUUAAAUCUCAGUAUGUGUUAUUUGACACUCGUGCUACGGGAAAGUUGGAAGUUUCCUGACCGUUCCGUUCAGUGGACUAAGUAAAGUACUGUAUAUAUAAGUUACCUCCGUACGGGAACAAGUUACAACCGCUUUUCUUAUGAUGUCAUUGAUAUCUCAAAUUACUGCAAUUCUCCUUGCUUUGGUAAGUCACAUUGGAAUGGAUGAUCAAAAUAACAAUGUUACAGAGUGUUGCCUUUCAUCUGCUACAUUUGUUUUAAUCGCAGUCGCUUGUUAUGGAGAAUUGUUUGCUCGUACCGGGAUAAGUUAUGAAGGUUAUAGAAUUGGAUACAGUUUUGGGAUAGCGUGUACAGUAGGCGUGAUGAACAUCGCAUCUGCAAUCUUCAGAUAUGUAGAGGAACGUAGCCUAUUUCUGUAUUCGCAUUCUUUUGCACUGGAAGAACAGAGAACUGAUAUAUAUAUAUAUAUAUAUUAUAUACGUAUUUACAGCCAAGUUCAAAGUAGGUUAUUCAUUGUGAUAAUAUUCAGUACCUGUUGAUUGGGAUGACAAGCAUCUAUGUACACACCCUGACCUCAAUCAACAAGUAUUUGUGGUGUCAAGAAUUCUUCUGAUGAGUCACUAAUGGGGGGCUUGCCUUCCGUGUUUGGACGCACUGAACCUGACAGCCGCUGAAUUUCUCAUGCACAAAACCAGACACAGUUCCGAAACGAACUUGCUUUAUCUUCCACUCAACAUUAGCCUAUACCUAAUACAAUUCUAAAUAGGUGAGAUAAUAUGCAAACGGCAAUGUGCAGUGACAUUUACAUCGAAAUAUGUACAUAAGAAUGGCAAUAGGUGGCAACACUUCAAACCAUGCUUUUAUACAGAAAAAAGGGUAAUUGACUCUAUGUCGUCACCUAGCAGAAUAAAUAGAUGAGAAUGAAAGAGAUAACUAUUAUUCAUCAUCAACACCUGUAGACACUGACACAGCCACUAGCAAUACACAAAACGGGUUUCUUCUCACAACUGAAUUGAUACAAGCUUUGUACUUGAUUCAAUAAUUACAUAAACAACAAAACAACGCUGAAACGUAUGUACACAAAAUCCAAGAGGAAGCUGUAGGGAUAGCUCGAGAGAGGGUGCAGAAGCGCUGUAGGAACAACAACAUAAUAACAAAAGAAUCAAUAUUUACAUUUUGUGUCCAAUAAUCUUUUUACUCACUUCUCCCUGAUGAGCGGUUGAUAAUUCACGAACAACCAUUUUUGCAAUUAUACUCAUUUAUCAAUGACCAUGUUUGAACUCCUGUAGAAUUUGUUUCAAAGUAAAAACUAAUACAAAGGAUGUAUAUACCCAAUUGUGAGAUUCAAUUUUUUUGUCAGUCGUUUCCAUCACAAAAGUCAUAUUUUUCACCGGGUUUUAUUACAAAAAAUCAUUGACAGUAACCAGUAAUGCAAACCGGUUUACUGAUCUCAUAAAAUACCGUGAGACGGUUCUAUAGAACCGGUGCGAACCGGCUGAAUCCCACUACUGUAUAUACCUACUAAAAUUUUCAACUUUGAAUAUAAAAUGGUGUAGCUAAUUGAUUCAGACCCAAACUGUUUUAAUACAUGCAGUGAGUGAAUUGUGCACGUGUGAACAUAACUUUAUAUGG